Molecule: long non-coding RNA, 1227 nt
Organism: Oreochromis aureus
Lineage: Eukaryota; Metazoa; Chordata; Actinopteri; Cichliformes; Cichlidae
Source: Ensembl
UAUGCAGUACAGCUGGUGAUGGAGGACUUUCCCCGGCAGAACAUAACUCUGACUCAAACCGAUGGGACACAGCCUAAUCUAACUACCAAUAAUGCUAUUGGCAAAAUACUGGUCCAGUUUGUUUUAAGGGUGGAUUCUCCAGUGCCAUCCUGCACAGAAGGACUCUUUCUGCCACUAUUCCUGCCUCCAAGUCCAGCCAACGGAGCUCAGCUAUAUACCCCUGUAGGACAAACCCUGGAAAUCAGCAUCAAAGCAGAGGCGACAAAUUCCACUAGAGCGGGACAUUUGAUUUACUCUCAGCGGAAUUGACCGGAGAAGGCAUCAGUUCAUGCACUGCAUUGGCCCGCACCACAAUUAGUAUAAGGCCCAGGUGCAGUUCACGGACGGAUGGGUACAGGACCUAGAAAUGCACCGUGUUGAGCACAAGACCAUCGUACGCACAACGACCACAUUUGGUUACUACCAUCCACCCAUCAAUACACCAAAUCCCCUGUACACGUAUAGUGACUCAGAGGAUGAGCAGCCCACAAAAAAAAGGUUUCCCCAGGCCCCUCGAGUGAAAAUACCAGCCCUCAACGCUUGCAGUCUUCCCCCAGCCCACUGACAGCAGACAUCAUAAUGCCCCUCCCAGCUUCCGGCACCUUUCGCCACUCCGGGAGAACAUUCCGAACGACACACCUUUACAAUCUCCCCAGCAUGCAGAGUCUGAUGUAGAGGCCUUCCCUAUAGAUGAUUCCAGAGACUCUGUGAGGCCACUAUUACAAGAUGCGACCGCACAAAAGAUUUUAACAAUGCUGUCAGACCUGACGAGAUCUGUCAACGAACUGCGUGAGGAGGUCAGAGCCAUCCGCAAUACCGGCUCAAAUGAAUCUCUAGAUGCUGGGGUACUCCCUUUGGAUUUGCCCUUAAACAGCAUUGAGGAGCUAAACCAUAUAGAGGCACCUCUUACGUCGCAAGAGGCAAUUAAGGCAAUGGUGAGACGCUUUGCCUUAAUUGGAGGGACCACACUUGAGGUGCGAGUCCACCGUGUAAUGGCUUAUGCCAUUACAAAUGAGCUGGCCUCACUGCUAAACUGGGCAGGGAAAAAAACAAAGGACCACACGAAGCAAAAAAGGGCAUUUAAAGAUACUGCGCUGUGCAGAUGCAUAUUUGAUGGCCUGACGCAGCAGUUAGGGGCAAACUCGAUGUCAGAGUUUCUCUUUGCACAGGCAGUGCAGAAGUGGCUAC